AUCUGCGGUCCAGGAUGAGGGGCCUUGUGGUGUUCCUUGCAGUCUUUGCUCUCUCUGAGGUCAAUGCCAUCACCAGGGUUCCUCUGCACAAAAGGAAGUCGCUGAGGAGGGCCCUGAAGGAGUGCAGGCUCCUGGAGGACUUCCUGAGGAAUCACCAUUACGCAGUCAGCAGGAAGUGGUGACCACUUCUGGAGUGGUGGCCAGCAAGUCUCUGACCAACUACCUGGAUUGUCAGGACCCCUCCCCAGGAGUUCACCGUGGUGUUUGAUAAGGACUCCUUGGAUCUCUGGGUGCCCUCUGUCUACUGCAACAGUGAUGCCUGUUAAAACCACCAAUGCUUCGAUCCGUCCAAGUCCUCCACCCACAGAACAUGGGCAAGUCCCUGUCCAUCCAGUAUGGCACAGGCAGCAUGCAGGCUUGCUGGGCUGUGACACUGUCACCGUCUCCAACAUUGUGGACCCCCACCAGACUGUGGGCCUGAGCACCCAGGAACCUGGCGACAUCUUCACCUACUCCGAGUUUGAUGGGAUCCUGGGGCUGGCCUAUCCCUCUCUUGCCUCUGAGUAGUCAGUGCCCAUGUUUGACAACAUGAUGCAGAGGCACCUGGUGGCCCAAGACCUGUUCUCAGUCUACAUGAGCAGGAAUGACCAGGGGAGCAUGCUCACGCUGGGGGCCAUUGACCUGUCCUACUACACAGGCUCCCUGCACUGGAUACCCAUGACUGCAAGAAUACCAAUAGUUCACUGUGGACAGUGUCAUCAUUGAUGGCGUGGUGGUGGCCUGUGACGGUGGCUGUCAGGCCAUCCUGGACACCGGCACCUCCCUGCUGGUGGGGCCUGGCAGCAACAUCCUCAACAUCCAGCAGGAUGCCACCGCAGGCCAGUACAAUGAGUUUGACAUCAACUGCGGGUGCCUGAGCAGCAUGCCCACGGUUGUCUUCGAGAUCUACGGCCAGAAGUAUCCCCUGCCACCCUCCGCCUACAGCAGCCAGGACCAGGGCUUCUGCACCAGUGGUUUCCAGGGUGACUAUAGUUCCCAGCAGUGGAUCCUGGGGGAUGUCUUCAUCCGGGAGUAUUACAGUGUCUUUGACAGGGCCAAUAACUGUGUGGGGCUGGCGAAGGCUGUCUGAUUGCAUCACUGGCCAUGGACCUCAAUGUGACCAAACACACACGCGCACAUAGAUGAGAUGUGCAGGCAGAUGGUUCCCAAUAAACACCGCAUUUCUGCAAAGCCUG
This 1235-nucleotide small RNA is filed under the name Pongo abelii (Sumatran orangutan). Its description in RNAcentral is "transcribed unitary pseudogene". Lineage: Eukaryota; Metazoa; Chordata; Mammalia; Primates; Hominidae. The record is from RNAcentral.